GGGACACGUGGUAUCCUGUCUGAAUAUGGGGGGACCAUCCUCCAAGGCUAAAUACUCCUGACUGACCGAUAGUGAACCAGUACCGUGAGGGAAAGGCGAAAAGAACCCCGGCGAGGGGAGUGAAAAAGAACCUGAAACCGUGUACGUACAAGCAGUGGGAGCCUCUUUUAUGGGGUGACUGCGUACCUUUUGUAUAAUGGGUCAGCGACUUAUAUUCUGUAGCAAGGUUAACCGAAUAGGGGAGCCGAAGGGAAACCGAGUCUUAACUGGGCGUUAAGUUGCAGGGUAUAGACCCGAAACCCGGUGAUCUAGCCAUGGGCAGGUUGAAGGUUGGGUAACACUAACUGGAGGACCGAACCGACUAAUGUUGAAAAAUUAGCGGAUGACUUGUGGCUGGGGGUGAAAGGCCAAUCAAACCGGGAGAUAGCUGGUUCUCCCCGAAAGCUAUUUAGGUAGCGCCUCGUGAAUUCAUCUCCGGGGGUAGAGCACUGUUUCGGCAAGGGGGUCAUCCCGACUUACCAACCCGAUGCAAACUGCGAAUACCGGAGAAUGUUAUCACGGGAGACACACGGCGGGUGCUAACGUCCGUCGUGAAGAGGGAAACAACCCAGACCGCCAGCUAAGGUCCCAAAGUCAUGGUUAAGUGGGAAACGAUGUGGGAAGGCCCAGACAGCCAGGAUGUUGGCUUAGAAGCAGCCAUCAUUUAAAGAAAGCGUAAUAGCUCACUGGUCGAGUCGGCCUGCGCGGAAGAUGUAACGGGGCUAAACCAUGCACCGAAGCUGCGGCAGCGACGCUUAUGCGUUGUUGGGUAGGGGAGCGUUCUGUAAGCCUGUGAAGGUGUGCUGUGAGGCAUGCUGGAGGUAUCAGAAGUGCGAAUGCUGACAUAAGUAACGAUAAAGCGGGUGAAAAGCCCGCUCGCCGGAAGACCAAGGGUUCCUGUCCAACGUUAAUCGGGGCAGGGUGAGUCGACCCCUAAGGCGAGGCCGAAAGGCGUAGUCGAUGGGAAACAGGUUAAUAUUCCUGUACUUGGUGUUACUGCGAAGGGGGGACGGAGAAGGCUAUGUUGGCCGGGCGACGGUUGUCCCGGUUUAAGCGUGUAGGCUGGUUUUCCAGGCAAAUCCGGAAAAUCAAGGCUGAGGCG
This 1141-nucleotide ribosomal RNA is filed under the name Escherichia coli. Its description in RNAcentral is "partial 23S ribosomal RNA". It matches the Rfam family "Bacterial large subunit ribosomal RNA", at positions 419 to 1563 of the family's 2925-position model. The record is from RNAcentral. Lineage: Bacteria; Pseudomonadati; Pseudomonadota; Gammaproteobacteria; Enterobacterales; Enterobacteriaceae.